GCCACAAAUCCUUCAACUACAAUUCUAGGUUAAGUGGCAAUAUAUGCAAAGUUACAUGUCAAGGAUAUGGGCUCCUAAAGGAACCAUUAUUGCUAACCAUCAAGGAUCCAAGAAAGCUUGGGUACCUAAAUCAAAAGCUUGAUUUUCUUUAUUGCAGGUUGUCUAACAGCCCAUAGGUCAAAUAGAAGAUGGUAUUUGGAUAGUGCCUAUUCAAGACACAAGACAGAGGAUGAAUUGUAGUUCAUUUUUCUUAAGACAAAGGAAGGAGAAGUGGUCACCUUUGGCAACAUUGGCAAAAAAAAAUUGAACACAAAAUUUAGGAUUAUGGUACUCAAAACAAUCUUCAAUUAACUUAAUUAGAUAUUCAGAUGUAGAUUUUGUCGGAUGUAAA
This 391-nucleotide long non-coding RNA is filed under the name Phoenix dactylifera (date palm). RNAcentral describes it as "long non-coding RNA (PDAC_LNC006724)". The record is from RNAcentral. Lineage: Eukaryota; Viridiplantae; Streptophyta; Magnoliopsida; Arecales; Arecaceae.